RNAcentral lists this ribosomal RNA (406 nucleotides) under uncultured bacterium. RNAcentral describes it as "partial 16S ribosomal RNA". It matches the Rfam family "Bacterial small subunit ribosomal RNA", at positions 30 to 526 of the family's 1533-position model. The record is from RNAcentral.
AUUGAACGCUGGCGGCAGGCCUAACACAUGCAAGUCGAACGAGUGGCGGACGGGUGAGUAAUGUCUGGGAAACUGCCUGAUGGAGGGGGAUAACUACUGGAAACGGUAGCUAAUACCGCAUACCAUCGGAUGUGCCCAGAUGGGAUUAGCUAGUAGGUGGGGUAAAGGCACACCUAGGCGACGAUCCCUAGCUGGUCUGAGAGGAUGACCAGCCACACUGGAACAGGACCCCGGUCCAGACUCCUACGGGAGGCAGCAGUGGGGAAUAUUGCACAAUAGGCGCAAGCCUGAUGAGACCCUGCCGCGUGUAUGAAGAAGGCCUUCGGGUUUUAGAGUACUUUCAGCGGGGAGGCGUUACCCGCAGAAGAAGCACCGGCUAACUCCGUGCCAGCAGCCGCGGUAAUUC